UACCAUGCAGUCGAGCGGAGAUGAGGUGCUUGCACCUUAUCUUAGCGGCGGACGGGUGAGUAAUGCUUAGGAAUCUGCCUAUUAGUGGGGGACAACAUUCCGAAAGGAAUGCUAAUACCGCAUACGUCCUACGGGAGAAAGCAGGGGAUCUUCGGACCUUGCGCUAAUAGAUGAGCCUAAGUCGGAUUAGCUAGUUGGUGGGGUAAAGGCCUACCAAGGCGACGAUCUGUAGCGGGUCUGAGAGGAUGAUCCGCCACACUGGGACUGAGACACGGCCCAGACUCCUACGGGAGGCAGCAGUGGGGAAUAUUGGACAAUGGGGGGAACCCUGAUCCAGCCAUGCCGCGUGUGUGAAGAAGGCCUUAUGGUUGUAAAGCACUUUAAGCGAGGAGGAGGCUACUGAGACUAAUACUCUUGGAUAGUGGACGUUACUCGCAGAAUAAGCACCGGCUAACUCUGUGCCAGCAGCCGCGGUAAUACAGAGGGUGCGAGCGUUAAUCGGAUUUACUGGGCGUAAAGCGUGCGUAGGCGGCUUUUUAAGUCGGAUGUGAAAUCCCCGAGCUUAACUUGGGAAUUGCAUUCGAUACUGGGAAGCUAGAGUAUGGGAGAGGAUGGUAGAAUUCCAGGUGUAGCGGUGAAAUGCGUAGAGAUCUGGAGGAAUACCGAUGGCGAAGGCAGCCAUCUGGCCUAAUACUGACGCUGAGGUACGAAAGCAUGGGGAGCAAACAGGAUUAGAUACCCUGGUAGUCCAUGCCGUAAACGAUGUCUACUAGCCGUUGGGGCCUUUGAGGCUUUAGUGGCGCAGCUAACGCGAUAAGUAGACCGCCUGGGGAGUACGGUCGCAAGACUAAAACUCAAAUGAAUUG
RNAcentral lists this ribosomal RNA (866 nucleotides) under uncultured bacterium. RNAcentral's name for it is "bacterial SSU rRNA". It matches the Rfam family "Bacterial small subunit ribosomal RNA", at positions 52 to 912 of the family's 1533-position model. The record is from RNAcentral.